CCUACGGGACGCAGCAGUGGGGAAUCUUCCGCAAUGGGCGAAAGCCUGACGGAGCAACGCCGCGUGAUCGAAUGAAGGCCUUCGGGUUGUAAAGAUCUGUUGACAGGGACGAAUAAGCAAUGCGAAUAGUUUUGUGUAUGACGGUACCUGUUUAGAAAGCUCCGGCUAACUACGUGCCAGCAGCCGCGGUAAUACGUAGGGGGCGAGCGUUAUCCGGAUUCACUGGGUGUAAAGGGAGCGUAGACGGCCAUGCAAGCCAGGGGUGAAAGCCCGGGGCCCAACCCCGGGACUGCCCCUGGAACUGC
This 305-nucleotide ribosomal RNA is filed under the name uncultured bacterium. RNAcentral's name for it is "bacterial SSU rRNA". It matches the Rfam family "Bacterial small subunit ribosomal RNA", at positions 338 to 636 of the family's 1533-position model. The record is from RNAcentral.